UGGAAAUGUGCCUCCUCAAUUCUUCCUUC
RNAcentral lists this non-coding RNA (29 nucleotides) under Mus musculus (house mouse). The record is from RNAcentral. Lineage: Eukaryota; Metazoa; Chordata; Mammalia; Rodentia; Muridae.